This 591-nucleotide ribosomal RNA is filed under the name uncultured bacterium. Its description in RNAcentral is "bacterial SSU rRNA". It matches the Rfam family "Bacterial small subunit ribosomal RNA", at positions 99 to 706 of the family's 1533-position model. The record is from RNAcentral.
CGGACGGGUGAGUAACGCGUGAGGAACCUGCCUUUCAGAGGGGGACAACAGUUGGAAACGACUGCUAAUACCGCAUGACACAUAGAUGUCGCAUGGCAUUUAUGUCAAAGAUUUAUCGCUGAAAGAUGGCCUCGCGUCUGAUUAGCUAGUUGGUGAGGUAACGGCCCACCAAGGCGACGAUCAGUAGCCGGACUGAGAGGUUGAACGGCCACAUUGGGACUGAGAUACGGCCCAGACUCCUACGGGAGGCAGCAGUGGGGAAUAUUGGGCAAUGGGCGCAAGCCUGACCCAGCAACGCCGCGUGAAGGAAGAAGGCUUUCGGGUUGUAAACUUCUUUUGUCAGGGACGAGUAGAAGACGGUACCUGACGAAUAAGCCACGGCUAACUACGUGCCAGCAGCCGCGGUAAUACGUAGGUGGCAAGCGUUGUCCGGAUUUACUGGGUGUAAAGGGCGUGUAGCCGGGAGGGCAAGUCAGAUGUGAAAUCCACGGGCUCAACUCGUGAACUGCAUUUGAAACUACUCUUCUUGAGUAUCGGAGAGGCAAUCGGAAUUCCUAGUGUAGCGGUGAAAUGCGUAGAUAUUAGGAGGAA